Molecule: ribosomal RNA, 498 nt
Filed under: uncultured bacterium
Lineage: Bacteria
Description: partial 16S ribosomal RNA
Rfam family: Bacterial small subunit ribosomal RNA
Source: RNAcentral
AUUGAACGCUGGCGGAAUGCUUUACACAUGCAAGUCGAGCGGCAGCGCGGGGCAACCUGGCGGCGAGCGGCGAACGGGUGAGUAAUGCAUCGGAACGUACCCAAUUGUGGGGGAUAACAAUCCGAAAGGAUAGCUAAUACCGCAUAAGUCCUGAGGGAGAAAGCGGGGGAUCGCAAGACCUCGCGCGAUUGGAGCGGCCGAUGCCGGAUUAGCUAGUUGGUAGGGUAAAGGCCUACCAAGGCGACGAUCCGUAGCUGGUCUGAGAGGAUGAUCAGCCACACUGGAACUGAGACACGGUCCAGACUCCUACGGGAGGCAGCAGUGGGGAAUUUUGGACAAUGGGGGCAACCCUGAUCCAGCCAUUCCGCGUGAGUGAAGAAGGCCUUCGGGUUGUAAAGCUCUUUCGGCAGGAACGAAACGGUUUGGGUUAAUACCCUGAGCUAAUGACGGUACCUGAAGAAGAAGCACCGGCUAACUACGUGCCAGCCGCCGCAGUAA